Molecule: ribosomal RNA, 228 nt
Filed under: uncultured bacterium
Lineage: Bacteria
Description: partial 16S ribosomal RNA
Rfam family: Bacterial small subunit ribosomal RNA
Source: RNAcentral
CGCGUAGGCGGCCAGAUCAGUCAGGCGUGAAAGUUUUCGGCUUAACCGGAAAAUUGCGUUUGAUACUGUUUGGCUAGAAUCAGGAUGAGGUUGGCGGAAUGUGGCAUGUAGCGGUGAAAUGCAUAGAUAUGCCAUAGAACACCGAUUGCGAAGGCAGCUGACUGGACCUGAAUUGACGCUGAGGCACGAAAGCGUGGGGAGCGAACAGGAUUAGAUACCCUGGUAGUC